UACAGAGGGUGCAAGCGUUAAUCGGAAUUACUGGGCGUAAAGCGUGCGCAGGCGGCGCGUUAAGACAGGUGUGAAAGCCCCGAGCUUAACUUGGGAAUUGCGCUUGUGACUGGCGAGCUGGAGUGUGGCAGAGGGAGGUGGAAUUCCACGUGUAGCAGUGAAAUGCGUAGAGAUGUGGAGGAACACCGAUGGCGAAGGCAGCCUCCUGGGCCAGCACUGACGCUCAUGCACGAAAGCGUGGGGAGCAAACAGG
This 253-nucleotide ribosomal RNA is filed under the name uncultured bacterium. RNAcentral describes it as "partial 16S ribosomal RNA". It matches the Rfam family "Bacterial small subunit ribosomal RNA", at positions 524 to 776 of the family's 1533-position model. The record is from RNAcentral.